This 492-nucleotide ribosomal RNA is filed under the name uncultured bacterium. RNAcentral's name for it is "partial 16S ribosomal RNA". It matches the Rfam family "Bacterial small subunit ribosomal RNA", at positions 29 to 507 of the family's 1533-position model. The record is from RNAcentral.
AGUGAACGCUGGCGGUAGGCCUAACACAUGCAAGUCGAACGGCAGCACAGUAAGAGCUUGCUCUUACGGGUGGCGAGUGGCGGACGGGUGAGGAAUACAUCGGAAUCUACUUUUUCGUGGGGGAUAACGUAGGGAAACUUACGCUAAUACCGCAUACGACCUACGGGUGAAAGCAGGGGAUCUUCGGACCUUGCGCGAUUGAAUGAGCCGAUGUCGGAUUAGCUAGUUGGCGGGGUAAAGGCCCACCAAGGCGACGAUCCGUAGCUGGUCUGAGAGGAUGAUCAGCCACACUGGAACUGAGACACGGUCCAGACUCCUACGGGAGGCAGCAGUGGGGAAUAUUGGACAAUGGGCGCAAGCCUGAUCCAGCCAUACCGCGUGGGUGAAGAAGGCCUUCGGGUUGUAAAGCCCUUUUGGUGGGAAAGGAAAGCAGCAGGUUAAUACCCCGCUGUUCUGACGGUACCCAAAGAAUAAGCACCGGCUAACUUCGUG